UGGGGAAUAUUGCACAAUGGGCGCAAGCCUGAUGCAGCCAUGCCGCGUGUGUGAAGAAGGCCUUCGGGUUGUAAAGCACUUUCAGCGAGGAGGAAGGUGGUGAGCUUAAUACGCUCAUCAAUUGACGUUACUCGCAGAAGAAGCACCGGCUAACUCCGUGCCAGCAGCCGCGGUAAUACGGAGGGUGCAAGCGUUAAUCGGAAUUACUGGGCGUAAAGCGCACGCAGGCGGUUUGUUAAGUCAGAUGUGAAAUCCCCGGGCUCAACCUGGGAACUGCAUUUGAAACUGGCAAGCUAGAGUCUCGUAGAGGGGGGUAGAAUUCCAGGUGUAGCGGUGAAAUGCGUAGAGAUCUGGAGGAAUACCGGUGGCGAAGGCGGCCCCCUGGACGAAGACUGACGCUCAGGUGCGAAAAGCGUGGGGCAGCAAACAGGAUUAGAUACCCUGGUAGUCCACGCUGUAAAACGAUGUCGAUUUUGGAGGUUGUGCCCUUGAGGCGUGGCUUCCGGAGCUAACGCGUUAAAUCGACCGCCUGGGGAGUACGGCCGCAAGGUUAAAACUUAAAUGAAUUGACGGGGUCAUAGCUGUUUCCU
Molecule: ribosomal RNA, 590 nt
Filed under: uncultured bacterium
Lineage: Bacteria
Description: partial 16S ribosomal RNA
Rfam family: Bacterial small subunit ribosomal RNA
Source: RNAcentral